CGCGUAGGUGGCAGGCCAAGUCUGUGGUGAAAGCGCCCGGCUCAACUGGGCAUGGUCCAUGGAAACUGGUCAGCUGGAGGACGGUAGAGGCGAGUGGAAUUCCCGGUGUAGUGGUGAAAUGCGUAGAGAUCGGGAGGAACACCAGUGGCGAAGGCGGCUCGCUGGGCCGGUCCUGACACUGAGGCGCGAAGGCGUGGGGAGCGAACG
Molecule: ribosomal RNA, 207 nt
Filed under: uncultured bacterium
Lineage: Bacteria
Description: partial 16S ribosomal RNA
Rfam family: Bacterial small subunit ribosomal RNA
Source: RNAcentral